UUACUAUCUAGCCGGAAGGGACAUAGAGGGCAUUGUAUGAAACACUAACUGCUGUGUGUGUGUAUUCUAUGGUGGCUGUGUGAACGGAGUGGCCCACCUCCCACGGUUUGAGUCUCCACCAGCCUCUAGGAGGAAGGGGAGAGGACAGCAGGUUGGACACCUCACCUCAGAGUCUAGCCAUCGAGGAACCACUAGUUCCAUCUGUUUCCCCCCCACCUGCCAUUGGAUGCUGGCCCCGAGUCCCCUCGACUACCUGAAACGUCGAAUUGGAGGAGAAAUGAAGGGCACCACGGAAAUAACUUACACCACAGGAAGUGGGCCGGGACGAAGGAGCUCCGUCCGGUCCUUUCCCUGGGACUACUUACCUGGCUGGACUCCCUUCCCCUUUGCUCUCUGGACCCCCGUCGUCUCCUGGAGAAGAGAGAGAGUUAUUUGUCCCCCUUACACACUCCCAACUGAUUUUAAUUAACUUAAUAAAGAUUUUUAUGUUUUACUUG
Molecule: non-coding RNA, 497 nt
Organism: Misgurnus anguillicaudatus (oriental weatherfish)
Lineage: Eukaryota; Metazoa; Chordata; Actinopteri; Cypriniformes; Cobitidae
Source: RefSeq, a predicted model, not a curated record